This 459-nucleotide ribosomal RNA is filed under the name uncultured bacterium. RNAcentral's name for it is "partial 16S ribosomal RNA". It matches the Rfam family "Bacterial small subunit ribosomal RNA", at positions 338 to 795 of the family's 1533-position model. The record is from RNAcentral.
CCUACGGGCGGCAGCAGUGAGGAAUAUUGGUCAAUGGGCGCGAGCCUGAACCAGCCAAGUCGCGUGAGGGAAGACGGUCCUAUGGAUUGUAAACCUCUUUUGUCGGGGAGCAAAAGACGCCACGCGUGGCGUUCCGAGAGUACCCGAAGAAAAAGCAUCGGCUAACUCCGUGCCAGCAGCCGCGGUAAUACGGAGGAUGCGAGCGUUAUACGGAUUUAUUGGGUUUAAAGGGUGCGCAGGCGGAAGAUCAAGUCAGCGGUAAAAUUGAGAGGCUCAACCUCUUAGAGCCGUUGAAACUGGUUUUCUUGAGUGAGUGAGAAGUAUGCGGAAUGCGUGGUGUAGCGGUGAAAUGCAUAGAUAUCACGCAGAACUCCGAUUGCGAAGGCAGCAUACCGGCGCUCAACUGACGCUCAUGCACGAAAGUGUGGGUAGCGAACAGGAGUAGAUACCCGGGUAGUC